This 258-nucleotide ribosomal RNA is filed under the name uncultured bacterium. RNAcentral describes it as "partial 16S ribosomal RNA". It matches the Rfam family "Bacterial small subunit ribosomal RNA", at positions 75 to 334 of the family's 1533-position model. The record is from RNAcentral.
CUUGCUUUCUUUGCUGGCGACCGGCGCACGGGUGGGUAACACGUAUCCAACCUGCCCUUUACUCGGGGAUAGCCUUUCGAAAGAAAGAUUAAUACCCGAUAGUAUAAUGAUUCCGCAUGGUUUCAUUAUUAAAGGAUUCCGGUAAAGGAUGGGGAUGCGUUCCAUUAGGUUGUUGGUGAGGUAACGGCUCACCAAGCCUUCGAUGGAUAGGGGUUCUGAGAGGAAGGUCCCCCACAUUGGAACUGAGACACGGUCCAA